RNAcentral lists this ribosomal RNA (429 nucleotides) under Acidobacteriota bacterium. RNAcentral's name for it is "Acidobacteria bacterium partial 16S ribosomal RNA". It matches the Rfam family "Bacterial small subunit ribosomal RNA", at positions 355 to 776 of the family's 1533-position model. Lineage: Bacteria; Pseudomonadati; Acidobacteriota. The record is from RNAcentral.
UAGGGAAUCUUCCGCAAUGGGCGAAAGCCUGACGGAGCAACGCCGCGUGAGUGAUGAAGGUCUUCGGAUCGUAAAACUCUGUUAUUAGGGAAGAACAAAUGUGUAAGUAACUAUGCACGUCUUGACGGUACCUAAUCAGAAAGCCACGGCUAACUACGUGCCAGCAGCCGCGGUAAUACGUAGGUGGCAAGCGUUAUCCGGAAUUAUUGGGCGUAAAGCGCGCGUAGGCGGUUUUUUAAGUCUGAUGUGAAAGUCCACGGCUCAACCGUGGAGGGUAAUUGGAAACUGGAAAACUUGAGUGCAGAAGAGGAAAGUGGAAUUCCAUGUGUAGCGGUGAAAUGCGCAGAGAUAUGGAGGAACACCAGUGGCGAAGGCGACUUUCUGGUCUGUAACUGACGCUGAUGUGCGAAGGCGUGGGGAUCAAACAGG